CUCCUCUGUCCAUGGAAUUCUCCAGGCAAGAACACUGGAGUGGGUAGUCACUCCCUUUUCCAAGGGAUUUUCCUGACUUAGCGAUCAAAUCCAGGUCUCCUGCACUGCAGGCAGAUUGUCUACCAUCUGAGCCACCAGGGAAGUCCUUAAAACUAAAGNNNGUUCCAGUUACCCCAUUCUGGAAGAGUGUUUAGCAACAUUCAUAAGCAAGAAUCAAAUUCUUCAAGAGAUAAGAGUCAUUUCAAAAUACAGUCCUAAUACCUGCCAUAAUAAUCAUUCAUUAGAAGAUGGAUUUCCCCCCACUUGUUCUUAAGUAAAGUUGUCCCUUUUAUUUUAUUUUAUUCUUUUUUAAAU
Molecule: long non-coding RNA, 354 nt
Filed under: Capra hircus (goat)
Lineage: Eukaryota; Metazoa; Chordata; Mammalia; Artiodactyla; Bovidae
Description: lncRNA (ENSCHIG00010014440.1)
Source: RNAcentral